RNAcentral lists this ribosomal RNA (496 nucleotides) under uncultured bacterium. RNAcentral's name for it is "partial 16S ribosomal RNA". It matches the Rfam family "Bacterial small subunit ribosomal RNA", at positions 28 to 506 of the family's 1533-position model. The record is from RNAcentral.
GACGAACGCUGGCGGCGUGCCUAAUACAUGCAAGUUGAGCGCUGAAGGUUGGUACUUGUACCAACUGGAUGAGCAGCGAACGGGUGAGUAACGCGUGGGGAAUCUGCCUUUGAGCGGGGGACAACAUUUGGAAACGAAUGCUAAUACCGCAUAAAAACUUUAAACACAAGUUUUAAGUUUGAAAGAUGCAAUUGCAUCACUCAAAGAUGAUCCCGCGUUGUAUUAGCUAGUUGGUGAGGUAAAGGCUCACCAAGGCGAUGAUACAUAGCCGACCUGAGAGGGUGAUCGGCCACAUUGGGACUGAGACACGGCCCAAACUCCUACGGGAGGCAGCAGUAGGGAAUCUUCGGCAAUGGGCGAAAGUCUGACCGAGCAACGCCGCGUGAGUGAAGAAGGUUUUCGGAUCGUAAAACUCUGUUGGUAGAGAAGAACGUUGGUGAGAGUGGAAAGCUCAUCAAGUGACGGUAACUACCCAGAAAGGGACGGCUAACUACGU